RNAcentral lists this long non-coding RNA (12530 nucleotides) under Nicotiana tabacum (common tobacco). Its description in RNAcentral is "long non-coding RNA (NTAB_LNC004606)". The record is from RNAcentral. Lineage: Eukaryota; Viridiplantae; Streptophyta; Magnoliopsida; Solanales; Solanaceae.
AAGAAGCUGAAACACGCAGCAAGAACCAGCUGGGAAGAGCGGCAAAAAUUAGCUGCAAGGCAGCCAAAAAUGCUGCUAAAACAACACCAAAAACAUUCGAAACAGCAGCUCAAAUUGCUGCCAUUUUUGCUGAAAAAACAGACCUAGAAAUCCCAGCCAAAACCCAGUUCCAAAACACCUAAAACCGGCACCAAAAACCCGAUGAAACACCGUAAAAAUCAGCUUCUAAACCCCUCCAUAAACCAGCCCUUAAAAACAUCUUCAAGCAGUCUCAAAGAAGCCCCAAAACCAGUAAAAAAUGCACCAAACUCCAGCUCAAAACCAUCAACUUCACUAAAUGUUUCGGUCAAGCAUAGAGGUGUGUCGAGGUUCGAGGUUCGAAGGCUUCAUCCGUGGUCCGCAGACUCCAAAUGAUUUGUUAUUGUACAUUUGAGGUUCCUCUUCCUUUCCAGAUUCUUUUAAUAAUGCUUUAGCUUGGGUUAUAAAAUUGUUGAAUGAAUAGUUUGUUGCUAUGUGUUUGAAAUAAGCAGUGCACUUAUUUAGAUUAUAUUUGUAUUUUUUAUUCAUGUUUAAUCCUUGUUAAUUCUAAGGCUCAAUUAGUUCGGUGAUAGUUGAAUUAUAACCCAAAUAAUAAAUCACUUUGUUAAUUGAUCUUGUUUCUAGUUGAAGGUUAAGAAUAUAAUUGGUAGUACUGUUGGAUAAGAACUUCAGAAUGGAUAAGGAAAUUUGGACUUAAACAUUGGGCCAAGGUCAAUGGAAUUAAAUGGGAACAAAUGAAUAAUGUGUGCGUGUGUGUGAAUUUUGAGUAUCUCAAGGUAUGGUUUACUACUUAAUAAGAACAUGUGCAAUUAGCUCUUGAUACUGAUUUUUCUCCAAAUGUAUUAUACUGUUUGAUUGGUUUAGUAUUUACAUACCUGAUAGAGUUUGAAUUGUCUAUGAUAAUUUAUCGAUUUUUCUAUUUAUCUUUGAAGCAAAUAAAUCAAUACGGUGGGAUACAUGCUAAUUUGUGCUUAUCGUAUUUGAGAUUUAGUUGUACAUGAAGGCAGUGAGAACACUUUUUUUAAGAAUAUGCACGUUUUUUUACUCUCUUAAAUUUCAAAUACACUUUGUCCCCAAUGAGAUUCCAUAACUCUUGUCCUCUAAUAGGCAUCUCGAUUUAGUUUAGGAAGUAAAUCAAAUAUCGUAGCUCGCUUUAGGUUAAUGAAUAAAUUAUUAAAACUAUGGGUACGACUCCCGUGACAUGGUUGUGAUAAUUAAUUUUAAAUUAUAUUAAAAAUAGGAGCAUCUUUAAUUUGACUUUAAAAUAUAUAACCCUUUUUUUCUUAAAAUAAUUUGAGGUGUGUCACUCUUAAAACCUAUAAUACAUGGCCCUCACAAAAUUAGAUCAAGAGCUAAUCCUUUGAGAAAGUAACUUGGGGUGUGCCAUAUACAAAUAAAAUCUUUUAAUUUAUGGCCCUCAUAAAAAUACAAGAUUAGUUUAGAAAUGCCUUGACCUUUCGUAGUUUUCUUUAGGCACGUUAAUUAAAUAAUUGUCAUAGCUACGGGUACGGUUCUCGUGAUGUAGUCAUGACGCUUAAUUACUAAAAUUCGGGGGUAUAUUUAUGUGACCCGGCCACAAUUUAAUCUCUAAUAAAUUAAACAUGUUGUAGAUCGUGGGUAUGGUUCCUGUGACACGAUUCACAAUGUGCAUCAAAUAAACAAGGGUACGACAAUCGUAACUUGUUCCAGAUUAAUUCCAUAAAAAAUAAUUAAAAGUGGUUUAAAAGGUUAAAAUGCACAAUAUGUUUUAAACAUGUAAUAAAUCGGAUAAUAGUUUAAGCGACUGUGCUAGAACCACGGAGCCCGGGAAUGCCUAACACCUUCUCCCGGGUUAACAAAAUUCCUUAUCUAGAAUUUCUGGUUCGCAGACUUAAAAAAUAAAAGUCGAAUUUCCUCGAUUUGGGAUUUUAAAAUAAAUCGGUGACUUGGGACACCAAUUAAACUAUCCCAAGUGGCGACUCUAAUAAAUUAAAUAAUCUCAUUUCGAAUAAUGCCACUUUAAUUGGAAAAACUCCUAUAUACCCUCGGGGGGGGGGGGGGGCAUGUGUGACAGCUCUGUCGACUCUGCUGGGGAACGAACCCAGAAUCUCUGGUUUUAGGUUCAAGAAUUCCAGCUUAGAAUAACUGUUAUACUUGCCUUUGUUUAUUAUAUGAUUUUUACAUGUUUGGGCAUAAUGUGCUAAAUAUCGCUUUUUAUUGCUUUGAUUUAUUUAAACUGUAUAUAAACUGUUACGAAACCCUUCUCUUCUCAUCUUCGGGUAUGUGCACGCUGGCGUGACUCCUCUUUCUAUUAGUGUCAUACCUUGAAAUAAGAAAGAGGCUCGGACAAGUUACAAAGCCGGAUGACCUUUUGGUUCCUGAUACGUAGCCCCCCUGGCUCGAGUUGUCCACUCAGGUACACAAGUCUAGAAUAAUUUAACCAGGUUAUAAACUUAGAAUAACUCAGCCUCAUGUCGGAUCCCUAGUAGGAACGCUUGUUUGCAUCAUGUGCAUUUAACUUUGGGGACUCAACACAGGGGUUAGGUCCGUCUAGGACAGGUGGACCCCAGAAUCAAAGAUCAUCCUGAUGCAUAUUUUACGUGCUACUUGUGCAAUUAUUUGUUUUGGUUUGCAUGUUGACCGGUUGCUUCGGUUUGCAUGUUGAGGUAUGAGAGAAUUGAUUACCCGUUUUUGAAAAAACCUGGCGUCCAAAAUAAGCCGAAACUCUGCCGAAAUUUUGGAAGAAAAAAAAAAGAAAGGUCAUUCAAGAUGAGCCAAAACUUUCAAGUGUCAUAUUUCCUUUGUUCCGUCAAAACUGACUGAACUACGCAGGUCUGAUUCUCACCGGAUGUGAGAUACGUAGGCAAACCUCAUCGAUUCUGACCCCAAUUUUCAAAAAAAUUCAAAAAGUUUAUUUUUUCUUAGUUCCUUCUUUAGAAAUCUUUCCUUAGAAAUUCAAAAAAAAAAGAAGUUUUUAAACUCAAAAAUAGUUUUCUUCUUUCUGAAAUCUUUCAUAUGAAAAAAAUCAAAAGAAAUAAAAAUCCAAAAUGCGGGUUUCCUUUAUUUUGAAGUAUUUUUCUAAAAAAAAUUAAAAAAAAACCAAAAAAAAAAAUAGAAUUAAAAAAAAGAAGAAGAAGAAAAUAUUCUUUUCCUUCUUUAAAAGUAUUUCUUUCGUAAAUGCCAACAAAAUAAAUAUUUGAAAAAAGGUUGAAGUCCAUAAAUAUUUUUGCUUUUCUUUAGAAGUACUUUUGUAAAUAAAUAAAAAGCUCAGAAAUUCAAAAUAUUUUCUUAAAAGUCUCUCUUUCAAAAAUUAAGAGGCAACAUCCAAAAUCCAAAAAUAUUUUCUUUCCUCUUUAGAAAAAGAGAAACAAAUAAAAAUUCAAACAAAAAUAUUUUAUUUUUACUUUUAAAAUUCCCAAAGUUCAAAUCAAAAGCAAAUUAAUUUUUAGAAGUCUUUCUUUAAAAAAAAACUAAACAAAAAUCAAAAAAAAAAUUCCUUUCUUCUUUUAAAGCAUUUCUUUCAAAAUAUUCCAACAAAAAAAAGAGUUAGUUUAUUUACUCUAUUUUUUAUCUUCCCGAACUACGCAAGAUCUGAUUCAUGCGGUGUCAUGAUACGUAGGCAAACCCCAUCGGAUUCGAUCAUAGCUAUAAAAUAAAACCGAGUGAAAAAUAAUUUGAAAAAAAAAAGAGAGAAAGAAAAAAAAUUGAUUGAAUGAAAAAGAAAGAAAAGAGCGAAAAAGGGAAAAAAGAGAGUGACAAAAAAUGAAAGAGUGACAAAAAUAAAAAGAAAAGAAAAGAGAGUGUCAAAAAAAUAAAAAAUAAAAGAGCGACAGAAACAAAAUGAAAAAAAAAUAAAAAAUCAAGAGUGAUUUAAAGAGAGAUAGAAUAAAAGAAAAGAAAUACAUACUCAAAGGGUUAGUUAAGGCCGAGAUGAAACAUGCAACCGUUCAAACACAUGGUAGAAGCGUUUAACUGUUAGGUGCAUUGCAUCCCAACGUGCGAUUUGCUAUAUGUUAAAUGUCUCAAAACUAACAAGGUUGUGGUGUGAGCAAAUUAGCUAAGUUAUGUUCAGGUGGUUGGUUUUGUUGGUAUGCGGUGAUGAACGCGCAACCUUGCACGCGGCCACAACAUUAUACACAAAACCGAGCUCCAACUCCCAGAAAUGCCCAUCAUUACCAAGCUCCAUAUAACCCCCAAUCAAAUAUUCCCCACUACAAUCCUCGCCCAAGAGAGCGUUUCAAAAGGAAUCAGUUCACCCCUAUUAGUGAAUCAUACUCGGGCUUGUUCCAAAAGCUAGUCAGGUGAGGUCUACUGUGGCCAGUGGCCCAAAAAAUCGGCCAAACCCCGAGCCCUCCUCUCACCGAGCUGAUGCUAGAUGUGAAUACUACUCUGGAGCAUUGGGGUACAGUACAGAGGACUGUUGGACCCUCAAAAGGGCAAUUGAAGAUUUGAUUGAAGCUGAAAGAAUCAUUCUCCGAGACGAAGAGGCUCCUAAUAUGAUGAACAAUCCUCUGCCUACUCUCACAAAUGGGCCAGUAGUCGGAAUGAUAUGUGAAGAUGAAGAAUUUGAUUCGGCACUGAAGUCCAUUGCAUCCAUUGCCGAGAUAGAAGAAAAAACAAAAAAAAUGAUCGUCAAGCCUGAAAGUUCCCUAUCAGACGGGAGUCUCGGUAGCCAGUCUUGCUAUCCUUUCUGUGACCGGAUUACCUCAGAGUGUGAUCCGGAUGUUUUACUUUAUUAUCUUACUUUCCGAUGUUAACCCUUCUAUCUUUAAAAUUCAAAAAAAAAUCAUCAAAAUCAAAAAUCAAAAAAAUCAAAUGAAAUUAAUAUUUUAUUUUCCAGGAAUAUCUCUUUUCUUAGUCUUGUCACUUUUCUUAUUUUUCUUUUCAAUUCUGUUAAAUGCAAAUUUCAAUAACAUGACAUGCUUGCAGACUUCAUGCCCAGAUCUUGAAAGCUGUCAGACCUCGAAAUAAUGAAUCAAGAAUUAGAUUGCAAAGAAAAUAAGUUUAAGGAAACAAAAUAAAGAGUUGGAGCAGUUAAAGGAAAAUUGAUUCCAGAUUGGAAAGAUCCAUACAUUGCAACAAGAGUACAGCCAAAAGAGUGCGUUGUACUUGGGACACAUUGAAGGAAAUGUCACGGAAACAACUGGCAAUGCAAAUGCAGUCAAAAGGUACUAUGUUGGAUCAUCUAUAUAACAUUAAUACUCUGAUUGGGAUGACGAAGGCUUUCAUAGUCCCUACCAAAAUACUAUCAACCCUUUGCAAACCUUUUGAGCCGGUUACUCUUCUUUGAUUACCCUCUUUGGAACCUGAAAGUGUUAUUGAAAAAAAAAAGAGAAAAUAAAAAAUGAAAAAUGAAAAAAAAAUAAAAAAAAAUAAAAAGAUACAAAAAAGGGGGAGGAAAAGACAAAGAAAAUGAAAGAGAGAGAGAGAGAGAGAGNNNNNNNNNNNNNNNNNNNNNNNNNNNNNNNNNNNNNNNNNNNNNNNNNNNNNNNNNNNNNNNNNNNNNNNNNNNNNNNNNNNNNNNNNNNNNNNNNNNNNNNNNNNNNNNNNNNNNNNNNNNNNNNNNNNNNNNNNNNNNNNNNNNNNNNNNNNNNNNNNNNNNNNNNNNNNNNNNNNNNNNNNNNNNNNNNNNNNNNNNNNNNNNNNNNNNNNNNNNNNNNNNNNNNNNNNNNNNNNNNNNNNNNNNNNNNNNNNNNNNNNNNNNNNNNNNNNNNNNNNNNNNNNNNNNNNNNNNNNNNNNNNNNNNNNNNNNNNNNNNNNNNNNNNNNNNNNNNNNNNNNNNNNNNNNNNNNNNNNNNNNNNNNNNNNNNNNNNNNNNNNNNNNNNNNNNNNNNNNNNNNNNNNNNNNNNNNNNNNNNNNNNNNNNNNNNNNNNNNNNNNNNNNNNNNNCCCUGAACUACGUUUGACUUGAUUCCGAAAGGAUACGUAGGCAGCCUCUCUCUGGGGUUCAGUCACAUCAAAACGAAAAUCCAAAUUCCCCAAAAGUUGAAACUGGGGAUGAAGUUAUAAAGGUUCGGCGAUGGUUUCGCCUGAAAGGUUCCAAAAUUGUAAUUAAAUCCAAAUUCUUUUUACCCCAAAUCAUGUUCAAGUCCUUCCGAUCAAUCGGUAAGAAUGUUCAAGGAAAAAAGAAUACAGUUACUUGGAUCCAAUACAGUCAAAAUGAGAGAAAUGAAAUAAGACAGUUUUAUUGGAGAAAACCCACACGGGCACUGUGAGGUGACAGUAAGCAGAGAAACAAAAUGAGAGAGUCUUAUUGGUGAAAACCCACACGGGCACCACGAGGCGAUGGUAAGCAGAGAAAUGAAAAAUGAGAGAGUCUUGUUAGUAAAAACUCGCAAGAUCACUACAAGGCGAUGGUGAGAAGAGAAAUAAGAAAGGUCAGCUCGUGAAAACCCGCAAAAGGCACCACUAAUCGAAAACGAGGAUCUUCAGUCACUGACAUUGAUGCAGUCCUGGGCAAGGUUUCUCGGUUUUGAGGCAAAAGCUAUGAUGAAUUUCUGAGAUUUGGACGGUUUGCACAGAUCAGGCAUCCAGUCCAAAAGGCAUGUCAUGUUCAUUGAAGUUCGCAUGUAAUCCAGAUAUGUCCUUCUUUUCUUUACCCGAAAGGGAUACCCCUUGUCUAAAUUCAUUUAUCAAUUCCUUUGUUUGUUUUUCUUUUGAAUCCUUUUCGGUCUAACUCUAUUCCGAAACUAAGACAAAGAAGGGAUGACAAGACUAAUUUACAGGGGUCUCAUUUGAUACAAGCCAAUAUGCAAAAAGGCACCCAACCUCGUCAGGGGGAAUCAAGUCGACCUCGACUAGCCAUGGGGGUCGAUGCUUCGAAAUCAGAACUCUCAGAAGGAGAAAAUCAAAUUGAAGUGCCUACAAAGGCAAAAUGAAGUUGAAAAGGUUGAGUCACACGUGGCUAACCGUCUCGGCAAAGAUUUGGAAAAAGCCAAGGUACCUCAAAAGCUCUAAAAUUGAAGUUGGAAGAAUGAAGCCAGAAAUGAAAGGCUUAUAAAGGCAAAAUAAAGUUGGAGAAGGUUAAGUCCCACGUGACUAGCCGUUGCGACUAAGUUUGAGGAGCAAAAAGUUUCCCAAUGCCCCGAAGUUAAAAAUUGAAAAAAAAAGAGUCAGAAGUGAAAGACCUACAAAGGCGAAAUAAAGUCGAAAAGGUUGAGUUCCACGUGACCAAACAUCAUGGCAAAGUCUGGAAAAACUAGAGGUUCUCCAGGGCCUGAAAUGAAAUCAGUCCUCAGGGAACAAGCAGUUGCAAUUGAGAUCUUCAUCAAAGAAGUCGGCUGAGAUCAAGUGAUUGAAAUAAUCAAGGCCACAAAACCAACCACCACUUCAAACUAACAAUUAUUUUUUGUUUGAAAACAUGAAACAUGUGCAAUCCAAAGCAACCUUGCAAGAAGCAGGUGCAACCAAAAAAGAAACUGCCAAGGGCUAGAAGCAACUUUGCAGCAAUAAUCAAUCCAAAAUGGUAGCCUAAGGUCCCCAAUCUCUAGCUACGUUUUUCCAACAUAGGAUCCUAUUCCCUAGUCGUUGCCAGCAUAACCUGGUAAUCUUUUCUAUUAUAGGGUUCCACUCCCUAGUUGAUCCCCGGCAUAACCCAUGGACCUCUCCAGCAUAACCCGAGGACCUUUUUCUUAUCCGGCAUAACCCGAGAACUUUUUUUUCUUUUCUGGCAUAACCCGAGGACUUUUCCGGCAUAACCCGAGGACCUUUUUCUUAUCUGACAUAACUCUAGGACUUUUUUUUUCUUUUCCGGCAUAACCCGAUGACUUUCCCGGCAUAACCCGAGGACCUUUUUCUUUUCCGGCAUAACCCGAUGAUCUUUCCCGGUAUAACACGUGGACAUCCCCGGCAUAACCCGAGGACCUUUUUCUUUUCUGGCAUAACCCGAUGAUCUUUCCUGGCAUAACCCGUGGACCUCCCCGGCAUAACCCGAGGACCUUUUUAUUUUUCGGCAUAACCCGAUGACUUUCCCAACAUAGCCCGUAGACCUCCCCGACAUAACUCGAUGACCUUUUUCUUUUCCGACAUAACCCGAUAACUUUUCCGGCGUAACCCGUGGGCCUCCUCGGCAUAACCCGAGGACCUUUUCUCUUUUCCAGCAUAACCUGAUGACUUUCCCGGCAUAACCCAUGGGCCUCCCCGGCAUAACCCGAGGACCUUUUUUCUUUUCCGGCAUAACCCGAUGACUUUCCCGACAUAACCCGUGGACCUCCCCGGCAUAACCCGAGGACCUUUUUUUGGCAUAACCCGAGGACAUUUUCUCUUUUCCAGCAUAACCCGAUGACCUUUCUCUGCAUAACCCGAGGACCUUUUUACCUUUUCCGGCAUAACCCGAUCAUCUUUCCAGCAUAACCUGACAAUCUUUCCAAUUUAGGGCUCCGAUCCCUAGUUGAUUUCAUUAUGGAUACAGGGUCUCCACUCCUUAAUCUCUUUUUCUCAGGGAUACACAAUCUCGAUUUUUUAUUGCUUUCAUUAAAGAAAUAGUUUAGAUUUUAUUACAAUAACUCACAAAAUUUUCCUAGUGAAAACUGGGGUAGAAAAAUUUCGUUCAUUUGUCUCCUUUGGUGCCUAAAUAGGUUUUCACCAAAAGAAGAAGUCUUAACCCAAAUAAAAGAAAAGAAGAAACAAGAAAAAGAAGUGAACUCAAAGUGCAGAAGCGGAGAAAGAUGCGGACUGCUCAAGAUGUGAUUGAAGUCGCAAGCUUCACAUGUCCCGCCUUGAUCCGAAAAGCUGAAGAAGAAGGAACCAGCACCUGCAGCUAACAAGCAUCAAGAUUCAUAUCAGAGUAUGCAUGAAGAACCAACCAAGACUCAAGGUCAAGCUUCAAAAGACUCAUAGAUAGGAAUAUUGUAACUCGUAGCUGAUAGGCUUAGUUAGUCUUUUUAAUUUUGAUUUUUAUGUAAUAACGGGACCACGGACCGGAAACUCGACGGCACCUCGCUCGGCUCUCAACCUUGGUACUCCAUCACCUCAUUCACUUCUGAACUACACGCGACCUGAUUCCCUUAUGACCCAGGAUAUGUAAGUUGUCCAAAAUCAGGACUCGGUUGCACCCUUUGCUUUGUUUAUUUUCUCUUUUGAAAUAAAAAGGAUUUGUUCAAAAAUUAGUCACAUGGCUCACCUUAUCUUUGCUUGUAAACUCCUCAUGUUUCCAAGCAAAGAGGGGCAGCUGUGAGCAGCUAAUUUUUUACCAUGUUUGAAUUUAUUCCCACUUUCUCCACUCACUUCCCACUUCCCCCACUUUAUCCACUCACUACCCACUUUCCCCACUCAUGUUCUCCACUCUACCCACUUUCCCAAAAAUAUUACCUACACUCUAAGACUAAAACAGCCUCAAUUCACCUUUUAAAAGUAGCUGAAACACGCAGCAAGAACCAGCUGGGAAGAGCGGCAAAAAUCAGCUGCAAGGCAGCCAAAAAAUGCUACUAAAACAGCACGAAAAACAUUCAAAACAGCAGCUCAAAUUGCUGCCAUUUUCGCUAAAAAAUAGACCUGGAAAUCCCAGUUCCAAAACACCUAAAACCGGCACCAAAAACCCGAUGAAAUACCGUAAAAAUCAGCUUAUAAACCCCUCCAUAAACCAGCCUUUAAAACCAUCUUCAAGCAGUCUCAAAGCAUCCCCAAAACCAGUAAAAAAUGCACCAAACUCCAGCUCAAAACCAUCAACUUCUCUAAAUGUUUCGGUCAAGCAUAGAGGUGUAUCGAGGUUCGAGGUUCGAGGUUCGAAGGCUUCGUCCGUGGUUCGCGGGCUCCAAAUAAUUUAUUGUUGUACAUUUGAGAUUCAUCUUCCUUUCCAGAUUCUUUUAAUAAUGCUUUAGCUUGGGUUAUAAAAUUGUUGAAUGAAUAGUUUGUUGCUAUGUUUUUGAAAUAAGCAGUGCACUUAUUUAGAUUAUAUUUGUAUUUUUGAUUCAUGUUUAAUCCUUGUUAAUUCUAAGGCUCAAUUAGUUUUGUGAUGGUUGAAUUAUAACCCAAAUAAUAAUAUCUUUGUUAAUUGAUCUUGUUUCUAGUUGAAGGUUAAGAAUAUAAUUGGUAGUAUUGUUGGAUAAGAACUUCAGAUUGGAUAAGGAAAUUUGGACUUAAACAUUGGGCCAAGGUCAAUGGAAUUAAAUGGGCACAAAUGAAUAAUGUGUGCGUGUGUGUGAAUUUUGAGUAUCUCAAGGUAUGGUUUACAACUUAAUAAGAACAUGUGCAAUUAGCUCUUGAUACUGAUUUUUCUCCAAAUGUAUUAUGCUGUUUGAUUGGUUUAGUAUUUACAUACCUGAUAGAGUUUGAAUUGUCUAUGAUAAUUUGUCAAUUUUUCUAUUUAUCUUUGAAGCAAAUAAAUCAAUACGGUGGGAUACAUGUUAAUUUGUGCUUAUCGUAUUUGAGAUUUAGUUGUACAUGAAGGUAGCGAGAACUCUUUUUUUUAAGAAUAUGCAUGUUUUUUUUUACUCUCUUAAAUUUCAAAUACACUUUGCCCCCAAUGAGAUUUCAUAACUCCUGUCCUUUGGCAGGCAUCUCGAUAUAGUUUAGGAAGUAAAUCAAAUAUCGUAGCUCACUUUAGGUUAAUGAAUAAAUUAUUACAACUACGGGUACGGCUCCCGUGACGUGGUUGUGAUAAUUAAUUUUAAAUUAGAUUAAAAAUAGGAGCAUCUUUAAUUUUCCUUUAAAAUAUAUAAAUCUUUCUUUCUUAAAAUAAUUUGAGGUGUGCCACGCUUAAAACCUAUAAUACAUGGCCCUCACAAAAUUAGAUCAAGAGCUAAUCCUUUUAGAAAGUAACUUGGGGUGUGCCAUAUACAAAUAAAAUCUUUUAUUUUAUGUCCCUCAUAUAAAUACAAGAUUAGUUUAGAAAUGCCUUGACCUUUCGUAGUUUCCUUUAGGCACGUUAAUUAAAUAAUUGUCAUAGCUACGGGUACGGUUCCCGUGACGUAGUCGUGACGCUUAAUUACUAAAAUCCGGGGGUACAUUUAUGUGACCCAGCCACAAUUUAAUCUCUAAUAAAUUAAAUAUGUUACAGAUCGUGGGUACAAUUCCUGUGACACGAUUCACAAUGUGCAUCAAACAAACAAGUGUACGACAAUCGUAACUUGUUCCAGAUUAAUUCCAUAAAAAAUAAUUAAAAGCGGUUUAAAAGGUUAAAAUGUACAAUAGGUUUUAAACAUGUAAUAAAUCGGAUAAUAGGUCAAUUUUAAUAGUUUAAGCGACCGUGCUAGAACCACGGAGCCCCGAAAUGUCUAACACCUUCUCCCGGGUUAACAUAAUUCCUUAUCUAGAAUUUCUGGUUCGCAGACUUAAAAAAUAAAAGUCGAAUUUCCUCGAUUUGGGAUUUUUAAAUAAAUCGGUGACUUGGGACACCAAUUAAACUAUCCCAAGUGGCGACUCUGAUAAUUUAAAUAAUCUCAUUUCAAAUAAUGCCACUUUAAUUGAAAAAACUCCCAUAUACUCUCGGGGGUAAAAAGGAGGUGUGACAACUUGCCAUGAUAACUUUGAUUUCAACUCGAAAAACCUUGUUUGUUUAUUGACUAACCACUUUCUCUGUCACUCUUUUCACAGAAAAUACCUCUGAUCCGUUCAAACCCAACAUCCUCUAUCUGUUGCAUUUUGCUCAUUCAUUGACAUGUACUGAACCUUUAUGUGUCACAUGAAUUCCAAAGCACAUCAAUUGCCACCCACUCAGUGCGCAUGUUGUUCUUUUCUGACUUAAACCACUGGCCUUGGCCUUGAGGUCUAUUGCUCCUUCACUUGCCAUGAUAACUUUGAUUUCCGCUUGGAAGACCUUGCUUGUCAUUGGUUAACCACUUUUUCUGUCAACCUUAUCACAAAAAAUACCUUUGAUCUGUUCACCCAACAUCCUCUAUCUGUUGCAUUGUUCAUGAAUUGACAUAUACCAAACCUUUAUAUUUCACAUGAACCCCAAAGCACGUUGAUUGUUACCAACUCAGUGCGCAUACUGCUCUUUCUUGACUUAUACCACUUUGAUGCACUAGCCAGAUCCCUUUUUCUGUAAUUGGAAAGCUGGUAGCAAAUUUUGAAGUCAUUUCUCACUUAUUCUGACCAAACAGACUCAUGAAGAGGAAGUAAACAAGACAAAAGGGUUCAUAGUAAAGGACAAUGGAAAAAGAUGGUUCCUAACAAGAAAACUACAAAGUAGAAACUUAUCAGAUGUGGAUACCGACUCUAAUGACCAUGGCAUGCACCUUUGGAUUAAGUGGCCUAAUAUGUCAAGCAAGUCUGAUGUUCAACUCUUGUUAUACCCCUUAACCGUGAAACUGGGCUUCAAUGCUCCGAUUAUCCAAUCUAAUUCACGAUCCUUAUUUGGCUUGUAGUGCCCGAAGGGUUUUCACCAUCAAACCUCUCUCAUUUUGUUCUUUUCCUCAACUCAUAAUUGCCUUACGGUGCCCAUGAAGGUUUUCACUAAUAAAACUCUCUCAUUUUAUUCUUUUCUUCUUAUUUCCUCUGAUUUUGCAGAUGACAAGGCAUUAACCAUGGUAAAAAUAUCAUAUGCUCCUGGCAUGUCUAGAUCAACACUCUCA